RNAcentral lists this long non-coding RNA (5501 nucleotides) under Sus scrofa (pig). RNAcentral's name for it is "lncRNA (ENSSSCG00060027113.1)". Lineage: Eukaryota; Metazoa; Chordata; Mammalia; Artiodactyla; Suidae. The record is from RNAcentral.
UUUUUUCUUUUAGGUCAAUCUUGAAUUGGCCAAAUACCACCUUUUAUGAUAAAUGAUUUCAACAAGUUGUGCGAGGACAACGCAGCCUGAGUGCCGAAGAUGAAAUGAUUUGUGAAGAACUUGGGUUAAAGGUCGAGAAGCAGAGCUGUGCUCUUCACAAGUUCAUGGAUCGGAGACCUCUUGGCGCGCCCUCGGGGAAGGGUACUUGAGCAGGAACACUAAGUGGAAAAGAACCUUCCUCAGGAAGGGCCCUCUGGGUCACUGAUGGCCAUUUCCAGGAGCCUUGAGACGUAAGCACCUCCCAUCCAGUGGGGAAAUUCGCACCCAUUAUCUCUUGCCCGGGAGGCGGUCCUGACCGUCAUGGAAGGAGACCCCGAUUUAGGCAAACGGCUGUUCUUCCUUGAGGACAGAAGGGUAAACAGGGCUCCAGUUGGCCCUUAGCGAACCGAUCCUCGGAAAGGUCAUUUUCACCGAUUCCCUCACUGGGCACCGCGAGGAAAACACGCAUCCUUACUCCCCAGCCCUGCCCAGGUAAUGCACAGUUGGAGAAACCCGUUUCUCUGGGAGCCCCGCAAAAUCAAGGGACCCCCGCACAAUCAAGGGACCCCGUGCUUUGGCCCCUGGUUUCCAGACCCAUUGCGAAGCUGCCUCUUUGGAACCUGCAUUCUCCUUUUUAGGAGGGCUGUGCGGAGCUCCAGGCUCGGGGGCUUUGUGGUUUGUGGAGAGGGAAUUCCCGUGUCCUAUUCUUGCCCGAUUAUUUAAUACUCACUGGUGGACCCUCUGGCACCGACCAUGACGGCGUUUAGCAUUCAAAUUCUCCAGCUCGGCUCCAGCCUCUGCAGUGGGGAGGACCCGACUGCGGUCCUGGAGGGCUGGGAGGGCUGGGCCAGGCCCACUCGCUGCCGACAGUGACAGUCAGCUGUGAUCUUCCAUCAGCUGCGCCUCAUUAUCCUGUCAGGGCUCCCUCUGCCCAUCGAUGGGAAACAAUGUGUAAUCACUUCCCACUGAUUGCAAAUCACGCUGCUCGGCCCACCACCACGUGGCCCAGACUGCCAAGCGGUCCCUGGGCCCUGGGACCCCUGGCUGCCUCCCCAGGGGGGCUCCAGGAGCUUGGAGCACAGUGGCCACCCUAGCUCUACCCCACCCUAUCUCUACCCUACUCUCCCAGGUAGAGUGGGAGAGAGGAGGUGAGGUUACAGAAGGGCUGGCUGAUCACAGACCCCACGGAAUGAUGGAGUCAGGUUCAGAAGAGCUACUUUGUGGGAUUUAUUUCGGGGACAGAGAAGGGGCCAACUCUCCUCCCUUCAGGGAAAACCACAUGGGUUCUAUGAUUCUGGAAUGAAUACUUGGCUGGGGGGUAGGGACCACGUUUUAAAAACAGAACAUUCUUACUGCAGCACUCAGGCACUGAAGGCCUUAGGUCUGAUUCAAGUCCUCAUCUUGACAGGGACUCCCUGUGUGACACUGGGCGAGUCAACUAAUCGCUCUUGGUCUCACUGUUCUCAUCUGUAAAAUGGGAAUGACAGCUGUAUCAAGCAUUUAGAGAUGUCUUCCUAAUUCAAAGAGAUAAUAAAUGCAAAAUCUUUAAGACUCACUGAAUACCAGUUGUUGGUAUUUUUAAUGCAAUUUGACAUACAACCUGACUGUCCAUCAACAGAGGAAUGGAUAAAGAAGAUGCAGUACAUAUAUACAUAAUGGAACACUACUCCGCCAUAAAAAAGAAUGAAAUAAUGCCAUCUGCAGCAACAAGGAUGGACCUAGAGAUGAUGAUACUAAGUGAAGUCAGUCAGAAAAAGACAAAUACCAUAUGAUAUCACUUACGUGUGAACGCUGAAAUAUGACACAAACGACCUUACCUAUGAAACAGACAUAGGCAGAGAAGAACAGACUUGUGGUUGCCAAGGAGGAGGGGGUUGGGGAGGGAUGGAGUGGGAGUUUGGGGUUAGCAGAUGCAAACUAGUAUCUAUUGAAUGGAUAAACGACAAAGUCCUACUGCAUAGCGGCGGGAACCAUAUCCAGUAUUCUAUGAUAAACCGCAAUGGAAAAGAAAAAAAAUAAUUUGAGGUUGAUGCAGAGUUCAUUUCCCAACACUGCUCUCCCUCCACCUAAAGGAAGACGUAUCUGUGGCAGGAAAAUCACAGGUUCCAAAUGUUUUCUUCUACCGGAAACGAUGCUCAUCCUACCAGGGCACGAGAGGGGCAGAUGAAUGUGGUCGAAUCCCUGCUGGCAGGGCGUUUCGAGAUCCUGAAGCGCGUCUGCACAGAGCGGUGAGGUCGUUCAUCCUGGCUGCACAUUAGCAUCACCUGGAGAACUUGAAAAGCUAUUCACGACCCGUCCCUCUAUCCGAGACCAAGCACAUCAGAAUUUCCUGCGGCGAGGCCUUGGCCUCUUCCCCUUCCUCUUCCCCUCCUGCCAGGUGAGCUGAACGUGCGGCCAGAGUCAGCGUUUCAGCAGCUAAGAGGGAGAGAUGCUGCCAUCAUAAAGGUGUGUCGAAACGGAGCGCUUUCUGCACACCUGUGAUGGGGCGAAGAAUCUCUCCUCUUCCUCCUUCCUUUCCUCCUUCUCCCCUCCGUCCUCCUCCUCUCCAUCCUCCUCCUCUUCCUCUGAGGCCGGGUUGAGUCAUCAUUCUGGAAACCUUCUCCAGCUCUUCCUCGGGAGGGAGACGCCUGCGUGGAAUGCUUCCCGACUUUACCCUUUUCUGGUGCUAAAGAUCGCCCAAGAGUCGGGACAAGAGGGGACAGGCUGCUUUGGUUACCCUGAUUACUCUCUGCUGGAAAGCCCAGGAAGGGCAGAGUCACGGACAUGGCCCAACCUUCCUGCAGGCAUCCAGAAAGCUCAUAGGAACCCAGGGUGAGAGCUGGAUCUUGGAGGGCUCGGGGGAGGGAGCUAUAGCUGCGCCUUGGGGUCUGCGCGCCAAGGCAACGGGGUCUCUGGUGUUGGGAGGUGGCCAAGCAUCUGGGUCCCGAGAGCCAGUCUUUUCAGCAGUCAGGUUUCCAUAAAUGGGUGACACUGUUUUGAAGCUUUUAAUUCGAUUCCAUUAGCCUGUUUUUCUCUCCCUUUUUCACAGCCACAAGGGCUAUCGAUUUUUAAUAAACCCCAAACCUGGUUAAGUCCCCUCUUUUGUUCCACACAUUCAAAAUGGUCUCGGCUGUUCUCUCCUCUUUCACCUCCCCUGUGAAAUCCUGGCAUCUCUUCGUGCUGGGGUUGUCAUCAGCCCUGCGUUGAGUGCAAACACAGAUACACGGGGAAGAACUGCCCGCCUGUGAUCUGCUCACCAGGACCAGGAUGUGUAAUUUCACAUACUGAGAUUUUCUUUUACGACUUAACAUUUUCUAUUUUUCAUCAAAGAGUGCAUUUUUGUUACAUUGCCCCCUGAGGAUUUAUUAUUUGCUUGUCGUCAUCAAUCGUGCUAAUAAUGCAUUUUGCCAUUACAUACAGUAAGAACACAAUGGAUGUGUGGGCAGUGGACCUGAAUCUAGCAACUUCGGUGAGUUCUUCUUAGUUUCACCAUUUUCUAUCUGAAAUGCUUUUAAAUAUAUGAGUAGGGUAAAGGCGUGAUGACAGGUCAAAGUGGCUAUGUCUACGUGGAAAGAUAGGGAGAUAAUUUUUUUUUUUGCUUCCUUAUACUUUUCAACAUUUUAAAUUUUUGUACGGUAGGUAUCAUCUCCUUAACAACUGAACUGAAAAUUAAAUUAUAAUAGUACUGAUAAAAGCCGCCUUCUGAUUAAUACCUAUACUUGUCAAGCGUGUGCUAAGGGCUUCAUAUACAUCAUUUAAUUUCAGUCUUGACCAUGGCCUUGCAUACAGGGUUGUCGUCACAUUUUUUAAACAGGGAAACUGAGGCAUGGAUCCCUCUGUGGGCCAAGGAGUCACCGACUCACCAAAUAGUUGUGCUGGGGUUUGUGGUAUUACUACUUUCUAGACGGACUCGGAAAGACAUUUUCCUUUUUUUUUUAAUUUUUAAAAUUCUUAAAAUUUUCUGGCCACACCUGAGGCAUAGGGAAAUGCCAGGGCCAGGCACUGACUCUGAGCCACACCAGAGACCCAAGCCACAGCGAGGGCAAUGCCGGAUCCUUCAACCCACGGCGCCAGACCUGCGAUUGAACCCGAGCCUCCGUGGCUACCCCAGCCACACUGCAUUUGGAUGCUUGACCCGCUGCGCCACGGUGGAAACUCCAGAAGGACAUUUUCUGGAAGUAACUUUUGCUUCCCUGGCCUCACGCCGCAGAGGUUGCACGGGCUAGUUUGUCAUUGACAGGGCUGGUUGCCCUUAUCUCUGGGCACAGCCUCAGGAUUUCAGGGAAACAAGCUGAAGAAAGACCCCCUGCUGGGGCUCCAGCUCCAGGGGCCUGGGGACAAUGUAGGAAGCCAGGCCUGGAACAUCAUACCUGCACUUGGAUCUUGCAAAUGAAAACAAAAUUUUAUAGGACGGACGAUGCCUGGGAAGGUCAGAUUUUUCUAAUUCCCUCAACGAGCAAUGGUUCCUUAUUCAGGAACAGGAGCAUGAGGCCCGGCGUUCAUUUAUGGGAUCAGAAGAAGGCAGCCUCGUCCUGGAGGGUGAAGAUGUGACCUUUGUCUUCGGUCUCCCUCAAGUUCAAUAACCGCACAUAUGACCUGAAAGGUUUGAAGUCAUCUAAACCCACCGACGUGUUACAAUGGAGACUAGGGAAGGGGGCAUGGGAUGACGUGGCGUCAUUUAUUGCCUUUGUAAGUCUUUUUCUAGUGGAUUAAUGAUCACGGGGAUGUCAAAACCGACCUUCGAGGGACAGCGUCCAAGUCACAAGCCGGGCGCUCGAACCAGAUAACGCGCCUGUGGAAGAACCUGCCCCACUGCUGUGCACCGGCUCUCCCCGCGGCACCACGCACGCCCCAGCUCCUCUCUCUGCUCUGUCCUCUCCCCUCCCCUCCGUGGCCCCAGCUCCAUUCUCCCCCUUCCCAGGACAGGGUUCCAACUUCGGCCGGUGGGCCCUGGGCACUUCUGCCCUCGCGGGCCCCUUCCUCCACUCGAAGAGAAAAAAGAAAUUGAGUAUAUCCUGUUUUAUGGCUGCGCUGGUGUCAGGGAGAGGAUAGUCUCGGUAGGACCCUAUAAAUAUUACAUGUUCAUUAUUAUCAAGAUGUUCAUUUUUUUCUUCUGAUUUCCCCAGAAAGUAUUAAAACUAAUUAAAAUGAAAAGAAAUGAAAAUUCACUUUAUGAAAAGAAAAAGUCAAAAAUUAAUGCUAAAAGCAUUGUGAGUGCUGGACGCUGGCUGUCCUAGGCCUGAUGGAAAAGGUGGCCGGGCCUCUCCCACCCUCCUUCCCUCCUCUCUUCCUUCCUCUCUCUCUCCCUCUCUCUUUCUCCAUCUCCGUCUCUCUCGCUCUGUUUCUGUUCCUGGGCUGCCUAGCCCUGGCAUGCUAAGAAAAACAAGCUUUUAUUUCUCCUGUAGCUUGCGCCCAAUCACUUCUGCUCUAGGAAGACACAAACGAGAUCAUUGCUUCAUUUUUCUUAAAAAAAAAAAAAAAAA